AUGCUCCGUGUCGACGGUGCUGCCUUCGCCAUCUCGCCAUGGAGGGAGAAUGACCACGCGGGCCAUGGCACCUUCAACCUCCACGUCCGCUGCGUUAUCGAGCACCUCCCGCAGCAAGACUGGACGCUGGAGGGAGUCGAGGAGGUCUUUGGCGACAAGGUGCGCGUCGAUCGGCUGGACAGCCGCACCCUGGAGCGCGACCACACCAAAACCUUCGCGUGCUGGGUGUGGGUCUGAGACAUGGCGUUCAUCCCGACGCGCCACACCCACUGGAAGCUGCCCCAGGGCGCCGGGCGGGUGGAGGAGAUGGAGGGCUUCUCGCCACCGGACCGCCGUGUUGCUCCGCCGCUCGGAGCCGAGCGCUACGACCUACUCAUCCACGUGGAUCGGGUGGAGGACUGGUCGCCACGAUCGCCGCGGUCCUCGCAUUCGGCGCAGAGCGGC
RNAcentral lists this ribosomal RNA (444 nucleotides) under Triticum aestivum (bread wheat). Its description in RNAcentral is "partial small subunit ribosomal RNA". The record is from RNAcentral. Lineage: Eukaryota; Viridiplantae; Streptophyta; Magnoliopsida; Poales; Poaceae.